AUGGGGUUUGUUAAAGUUGUUAAUAAUAAGGCCUACUUUAAAAGAUACUAAGUGAAAUUUAGAAGAUGACAAGAGGGUAAAACUGAUCACUAUGUUCGGAAAUGCUUGGUGAUACAGGAUAAAAAUAAAUACAGCACACCCAAAUACAGGAUGAUAUUUUAUGUAACAAACAGAGUUAUCAUUUGUCAGAUUGCUUAGACCUGUGUAGAAGGGAACGUGAUAGUCUGUGCAGUGUAUGCACAUGAACUGCCAAAAUAUG
This 259-nucleotide long non-coding RNA is filed under the name Homo sapiens (human). RNAcentral's name for it is "non-protein coding lnc-MROH2B-2:1". The record is from RNAcentral. Lineage: Eukaryota; Metazoa; Chordata; Mammalia; Primates; Hominidae.